This is a long non-coding RNA of Suricata suricatta (meerkat), 612 nucleotides long. RefSeq lists it as uncharacterized. The record is from RefSeq and is a predicted model, not a curated record. Lineage: Eukaryota; Metazoa; Chordata; Mammalia; Carnivora; Herpestidae. The transcript is spliced from 5 exons.
CUCACAUCAUCCCAAGAUGAAGAAGAGAAAUCACACCGUUCCCUACUGAACUCUCAUGCCAUUACUGGCGGCUUCAGAAAAAGCAUCUGUGACGCAAACAUGACAAAGCGGAAGUCCAGGAACUGGAAGGUUACAUCUAAGGGAUUAGAGAGCCUGGAAGGGGCUGGCACGUGUGCAGUGUCCUGACACGGACGGGCUGGGACCUCUUAGGAGGCCUGCGCCGAGGACGUGCUGUCAGAGUCGGGAACAGAGCUGGAAGGAGCUGGAGUGAAGGAGUGAAAAAGGACCAUACAAGGUGUGACAUCAUUGGAGGCCAGCUCUCCGCAAGAGGUUAUGCCAGAUGCCAGCCUAGAAGUUAUCAACAGGGUGAAGACGAGUGAGAAAAGGACGUCUGGAAGCAGGGACGCGGAUACUGACGUGCUGGACCACGUCCGUGACCCCUCACCAUAAUACUAGUUGAUGGAAGAGUUAAGGGGCCUGUGAUUGAUUACUGACAAGGACCUACUUGUGGACCAGCUGAUGCUUUGAUGCCAUUUAUAUGGUUAUCUCCUUCUUUUCCAGUGAAAAAUGCCAAGAUUAUUUUCCUUGUUAAUUUUCCCCCUAUGAUGGAUA